ACGUAGCUUAAAACGUUUGGUUCACAUACAUCUGCCUGCUGCCUUGGCACAAUAUCAAAAAGGCAUAAACAUCGCACAUAAUGGUUAUUUACGGCUAUGAGGAUGGUUUUAGUACGUAGGCGUUGCGGAACUUCGGUUCGGAUAGAGCAAUGAAUCGUGCAUGCUAGGAACUGACCAAAUAACGCAGCCCUAGUAUCUUUCGAAGAUUUCCAUACCUUUGCGAUC
Molecule: non-coding RNA, 225 nt
Organism: Drosophila yakuba
Lineage: Eukaryota; Metazoa; Arthropoda; Insecta; Diptera; Drosophilidae
Source: Rfam